This 466-nucleotide ribosomal RNA is filed under the name uncultured bacterium. RNAcentral's name for it is "partial 16S ribosomal RNA". It matches the Rfam family "Bacterial small subunit ribosomal RNA", at positions 28 to 507 of the family's 1533-position model. The record is from RNAcentral.
GAUGAACGCUGGCGGCGUGCUUAACACAUCCAAGUCGAACGAUGAAGCCCAGCUUGCUGGGUGGAUUUGUGGCGAACGGGUGAGUAACACGCGAGUAACCUGCCCUCAACUCUGGGAUAAGCCUGGGAAACUGGGUCUAAUACCGGCUAGGAGCGUCCAUUGACCGGUGGGUGUUGGAAAGAUUUAUCGGUUUUGGAUCGUCUCGCGGUCUAUCGGCUUGUUGGUGUGGUAAUGGUUCACCAAGGCGUCGACGGGUAGCCGGCCUUAGAAGGUGAACGGCCACACUAGUACUAUGACAGGGCGCAGACGCCUACGGGAGGCAUCAGUGGUGAGUCUUACACAACGAGCGCACGCCUGAUACAGCGACGCCGCGUGCGGAAUGACCGCUUUCGGGGUAUAAACAUCUUUCAGUAUAAAAGAAGCCAACGUGACGGUACCUACAGAAGAAGCACCGGCUAACUACGUG